UGAAUUCAUCUUAUUUGAGUUUUAAGUUGGUGACUUUAUUUUAUCACUACAAGUAGAUGGAUCCGGAUCAAAUUUAUAAUCAGGUCAAUUUUUUCCACCAUUAAGGUUUAAUUACCUGACCCGAAAAAGAUACGUGCCUCAAAAGGAGUUACAGCUCAAUUUUGCGAAUGAAAGACAGGUAGAAACAUAUUUUGACUAUUUGACUCACUGGUUUUAAUGUACCUAGAAACCUCUGUAUCUACAGAGAUUUUGUCUUGUAAAUGCUUAUUCAUGUGUCUCGAGAUAGCAUUUCGGAAUAAAUUCAUCUUUCUUCUUACAAAAAAGUCUUAAAUAUUAGAACUAGAAUAUAAGCAAUGCUAGAUAUACAAAAAGUUACACUGAUGUUAAUAUAAACUAAAUUAAUAAUUGACGCAGACAAAGGUUUUUGGUUAAUUUAAUUCUAGAAGAAUGUCCACCUAAGCUACUAUGUUGGUUUGGUAUGAAUUUAUAUAUACUUGUAAGUUUUGCAUUAUUUUUGUGAUAAUGAUCACAAUGGGUUGUGACACCAAAUCCAACAACCAUAGCGUGUAACUCAUAAAUAAGAUCUACGAAAUUGACAAGCAAACAUUAUUACAUAGAUAUACUUAUCUGUCUAGGAUUCAAGGAAACAAAUAAAGGUGGCUUAUGACGGUUAGGUCCAUUCAUAGCAAAAUUCAAGAUUUAAAUUAUCGAGACAGACAUUAUUUUUUUUUUUUUAAAAAGAAAAAGAAUAGAAAAGGCAGAAGUGGAAAGAUAACCCUGUCGCUUAUACUAUAGAAUCAAACACUCAUUCCUGAAAGGCUUUUAUUCUGCUGUCCCUAUAUCAGAUUAACCUAAUAAUAAUGGACUAGUUACAGGAGGGAUAGCUCUAAGAAACUUAAGUAAAAUAAACAGAUAAAAGAUUACAAACCUAGAAGAGAAGGCGCUCGCAUCAUCUUGCAUUCUGUUAUCCUGAUGAAGAAGCCUGCCUGAAAUUUUCCAAUGUGUUGUCUGCUUACCUCCUUGGUAAAAUUCUUGAAAUUAACGGAUGACAAGAAAGUAAACUUCUAUCUUGAGAAUAGUGAUUAGCAGAGAGCAAAAGAUUAUAAUCCAAUAGGUGCUAGUGCCAUCCAAUUUUUAAUCCUUUGAAACCCGAACAACUAAGCCACUGGGUGUCUGAAAAGUUUUGAGUUUACCAGAUCCAAUAAGGUCNNN
Molecule: long non-coding RNA, 1212 nt
Filed under: Carica papaya (papaya)
Lineage: Eukaryota; Viridiplantae; Streptophyta; Magnoliopsida; Brassicales; Caricaceae
Description: long non-coding RNA (CPAP_LNC007316)
Source: RNAcentral